CAGUCGUCACGAGUUUGAUCCUGGCUCAGAGCGAACGCUAGCGGCGGGCUUAACACAUGCAAGUCGAGCGGAGAGCUUCGGCUCUCAGCGGCGAACGGGUGAGUAACACGUAGGUCACGUACCCUUUGAUGGGGAAUAACCUAGGGAAACCUGGGCUAAUACCGCAUAUGUCCUUCGGGAUGAAAGCCUUCGGGCGUCAGAGGAUCGGCCUGCGGCCCAUUAUUUAAUCCUAGUUGGUAGGGUAAUGGCCUACCAAGGGUACGAUGGGUAGCUGGUCUGAGAGGAUGAUCAGCCACACUGGAACUGAGACACGGUUCAGACUCCUACGGGAGGCAGCAGUGGGGAAUAUUGGACAAUGGGCGAAAGCCUGAUCCAGCCACGCCGCGUGGGUGAUGAAGGCCUUCGGGUUGUAAAGCCCUGUCGGGAGGGACGAAUCAAUGACGGUACCUCCCAAGAAAGCACCGGCUAACUCCGUG
Molecule: ribosomal RNA, 476 nt
Filed under: uncultured bacterium
Lineage: Bacteria
Description: bacterial SSU rRNA
Rfam family: Bacterial small subunit ribosomal RNA
Source: RNAcentral